AAGUCGUAACAAGGUUUCCGUAGGUGAACCUGCGGAAGGAUCAUUACCUGGAACGGUCUCGUAGGAUGCAAAAUAAAUCUGAAAUUAAACUAAGUUUUUUGAUUUCAGAGUUGCUCCGAAAAGACUAAAGAUUAAAACAGCCCCAAGAAACUCGUAAUUCUUGGACGGCAGUGAGAAUUUGGUUUAAUUGGUAUUUGCUUUUGCCCGUAACAACGGCAGGAAAGAGUUAAAAUGAACUAAUUCUCAUUGGUCUCUAACCACUUAAUAUGUUUUAUUUACUCUGGAAUUUUGUUUUUUAUGAAUAAUAAAUGACAACUUUUAACGGUGGAUCUCUUGGCUCGUG
Molecule: unclassified non-coding RNA, 343 nt
Filed under: fungal sp.
Lineage: Eukaryota; Fungi
Description: partial internal transcribed spacer region
Rfam family: Eukaryotic small subunit ribosomal RNA (bases 1-46)
Source: RNAcentral